AUAGACUUAGUCCUAACCUUACUGUUGGUUUUUGCUAGAUUUAUACAUGCGAGUAUCCGCAUUCCAGUGUAGAUGCCCUGGGUACCCUAAUUUCUAGGUCGACAGGAGCGGGUAUCAGGCACACCCAAGUUGUAGCCCAAAACGCCUCGCAAUUGCCACACCCCCACGGGUCCACAGCAGUAGUCAAUAUUAAGCAAUGAGUGUAAACUUGACUUAGUUAUAGCAAAUUAGGGUCGGUAAAUCCUGUGCCAGCCACCGCGGUCAUACAGGAGACCCAAAUUAACUUUAUCGACGGCGUAAAGAGUGGUCACAUGCUAUCCAAGUAACUAAGAUUAAAAAGCAACUGAGCUGUCAUAAGCCCAAGAUGCUCAUAAGGCCUCUCCCCUAAAGAAGAUCUUAGACUAACGAUCAAUUGAACCCACGAAAGCCAGGGCCCAAACUGGGAUUAGAUACCCCACUAUGCCUGGCCCUAAAUCUUGAUGCUCGAUAUUACCUGAGCGUCCGCCUGAGAACUACGAGCACAAACGCUUAAAACUCUAAGGACUUGGCGGUGCCCCAAACCCACCUAGAGGAGCCUGUUCUGUAAUCGAUGAUCCACGAUUCACCCAACCAUUCCUUGCACGAAACAGCCUAUAUACCGCCGUCGCCAGCCCACCCCUCCUGAGGGCCCAACAGUGGACGCAACAGCCUACCCCGCUAACACGACAGGUCAAGGUAUAGCCUAUGGAAUGGCAGUAAUGGGCUACAUUUUCUAAGCUAGAACACACGGCAAAGGGAUGUGAAACCAUCCCUGGAAGGCGGAUUUAGCAGUAAAGAGAGAUAAGAGAGCCCUCUUUAAGCCGGCCCUGGGACACGUACAUACCGCCCGUCACCCUCCUCAAAAGCGACCCCAACCCCCCCCAUAACUAAUAAGCUAUUCAGCCAAAGAUGAGGUAAGUCGUAACAAGGUAAGUGUACCGGAAGGUGCACUUAGAACAU
RNAcentral lists this non-coding RNA (978 nucleotides) under Sylviparus modestus (yellow-browed tit). RNAcentral describes it as "12S ribosomal RNA". It matches the Rfam family "Bacterial small subunit ribosomal RNA". Lineage: Eukaryota; Metazoa; Chordata; Aves; Passeriformes; Paridae. The record is from RNAcentral.